GACGAACCGUACGAACGUUAUUCGGAAUCACUGGGCUUAAAGGGUGCGUAGGCGGUGCGGAAAGUUGGGUGUGAAAUCCCUCGGCUCAACCGAGGAAUUGCGCCCAAAACUACCGUGCUCGAGGGAGACAGAGGUGAGUGUAACUUAGGGUGGAGCGGUGAAAUGCGUUGAUAUCCUAAGGAACACCAGUUGCGAAAGCGACUCACUGGGUCUCUUCUGACGCUGAGGCACGAAAUCUAGGGGAGCAAACGGG
Molecule: ribosomal RNA, 253 nt
Filed under: uncultured bacterium
Lineage: Bacteria
Description: partial 16S ribosomal RNA
Rfam family: Bacterial small subunit ribosomal RNA
Source: RNAcentral